This 437-nucleotide ribosomal RNA is filed under the name Wolbachia endosymbiont of Lipaphis erysimi. Its description in RNAcentral is "bacterial SSU rRNA". It matches the Rfam family "Bacterial small subunit ribosomal RNA", at positions 992 to 1428 of the family's 1533-position model. The record is from RNAcentral. Lineage: Bacteria; Pseudomonadati; Pseudomonadota; Alphaproteobacteria; Rickettsiales; Anaplasmataceae.
CAUACCUAUUCGAAGGGAUAGGGUCGGUUUGGCCGGAUUUCACACAGGUGUUGCAUGGCUGUCGUCAGCUCGUGUCGUGAGAUGUUGGGUUAAGUCCCGCAACGAGCGCAACCCUCAUCCUUAGUUACCAUCAGGUUAUGCUGGGGACUUUAAGGAAACUGCCAGUGAUAAACUGGAGGAAGGUGGGGAUGAUGUCAAGUCAUCAUGGCCCUUAUGGAGUGGGCUACACACGUGCUACAAUGGUGGUUACAAUGGGCUGCAAGGUCGCAAGGCUGAGCUAAUCCUAAAAAAUCAUCUCAGUUCGGAUUGUUCUCUGCAACUCGAGAGCAUGAAGUUGGAAUCGCUAGUAAUCGUGGAUCAGCAUGCCACGGUGAAUACGUUCUCGGGUCUUGUACACACUGCCCGUCACGCCAUGGGAAUUGGUUUCACUCGAAGCU